GAAGGAUGGUGAACACAAUGAUCAGAAAAUCACGUGAAAUAGGAAGCAGGAAGGGCUUAUCGGAUGGACUUUUUGGGUUUUAACUGCGGUGGCUCCGUUGGGCUUUGUCUGCGGUUUCCAGUUCACCCACCAUCCCUCUUGCUUCGAUUUGAUCACAAGGAUGCUCAUAAUCGAAUUUUGAGCGAGUAAGAAAAAUUUUAACAUUUUUUAGCGUUUGAUGGUGGCUUCAGUGCAGCGACAGUCGACGAUCGACCUCCAUAUCUGGCACCUAUUUCUUCUUCUUUGGCGGGGGCU
Molecule: long non-coding RNA, 294 nt
Filed under: Carica papaya (papaya)
Lineage: Eukaryota; Viridiplantae; Streptophyta; Magnoliopsida; Brassicales; Caricaceae
Description: long non-coding RNA (CPAP_LNC011151)
Source: RNAcentral